UAACACCUGGAAACAGAUGCAAUACCGCAAACAACUUGGACCGCAUGGUCCGAGUUUGAAGAUGGCUUCGGCUAUCACUUUUGGAUGGUCCCGCGGCGUAUUAGCUAGAUGGUGGGGUAACGGCUCACCAUGGCAAUGAUACGUAGCCGACCUGAGAGGGUAAUCGGCCACAUUGGGACUGAGACACGGCCCAAACUCUACGGGAGGCAGCAGUAGGGAAUCUUCCACAAUGGACGGAAGUCUGAUGGAGCAACGCCGCGUGAGUGAAGAAGGGUUUCGGCUCGUAAAACUCUGUUGUUAAAGAAGAACAUAUCUGAGAGUAGCUGUUCAGGUAUUGACGGUAUUUAACCAAAAGCCACGGCUAACUACGUGCCAGCAGCCGCGGUAAUACGUACGUGGCAAGCGUUGUCCGGAUUUAUUGGCGUAAAGC
RNAcentral lists this ribosomal RNA (430 nucleotides) under Lactiplantibacillus plantarum. RNAcentral describes it as "bacterial SSU rRNA". It matches the Rfam family "Bacterial small subunit ribosomal RNA", at positions 144 to 566 of the family's 1533-position model. The record is from RNAcentral. Lineage: Bacteria; Bacillati; Bacillota; Bacilli; Lactobacillales; Lactobacillaceae.